RNAcentral lists this long non-coding RNA (414 nucleotides) under Homo sapiens (human). RNAcentral describes it as "HSALNT0284390". Lineage: Eukaryota; Metazoa; Chordata; Mammalia; Primates; Hominidae. The record is from RNAcentral.
AUUUUUCUUUUCCCAUUUCAAGAACACCAGUGGAUGCCUGAAAGUGUAAAGACUACCAAACCCUACCUGCAUUGAGCUGCGGUGCUGAUGUUUCUCCUAGUAGCAUGGCUUUCGGUAUAAAAAUAUGCAAAAAAGUGACGUGAGGAAUAUUUGAACCAAGGUUUUAACCUUCAAAAUAUCAGGAAUGGGAAAGGAGGCAGCUAAGAAGAUGGAGAAGGAUAUACUGGGGAAACAAGUCAUAAGGAUUUGCCUUUCAGUUAAAAAACUUUCCCUGAAGCAGCUAUUAGAGAAAAGCAACUUAUUAUAAUUCUGAAAAUUUUUCCUUCUUGAUGUUCUAUCUCUAUGCAGAUGUCAUCUCCUCUUCCAUUCAGUAGACAAAAAAUAAAAAAUGGAUACUGUGUUAUUGGUGCUCUG